RNAcentral lists this ribosomal RNA (253 nucleotides) under uncultured bacterium. Its description in RNAcentral is "partial 16S ribosomal RNA". It matches the Rfam family "Bacterial small subunit ribosomal RNA", at positions 524 to 776 of the family's 1533-position model. The record is from RNAcentral.
UACGUAGGGGGCAAGCGUUGUCCGGAUUUAUUGGGCGUAAAGAGCGUGUAGGCGGCCUGACAGGUCAGCUGUGAAAACUCGAGGCUCAACCUCGAGACGUCGGUUGAAACCGUCUGGCUAGAGUCCGGAAGAGGAGAGUGGAAUUCCCGGUGUAGCGGUGAAAUGCGCAGAUAUCGGGAAGAACACCCGUGGCGAGGGCGGCUCUCUGGGACGGUACUGACGCUGAGACGCGAAAGCGUGGGGAGCGAACAGG